This 86-nucleotide transfer RNA is filed under the name Rhodospirillaceae bacterium. RNAcentral's name for it is "tRNA-Leu". It matches the Rfam family "tRNA". Rfam says of the family: Transfer RNA (tRNA) molecules are approximately 80 nucleotides in length. The record is from RNAcentral. Lineage: Bacteria; Pseudomonadati; Pseudomonadota; Alphaproteobacteria; Rhodospirillales; Rhodospirillaceae.
GCGGGCGUGGCGGAACUGGUAGACGCGCCAGACUUAGGAUCUGGUGACCGAAAGUCGUGGGGGUUCAAGUCCCUCCGCCCGCACCA